This 274-nucleotide ribosomal RNA is filed under the name uncultured bacterium. Its description in RNAcentral is "partial 16S ribosomal RNA". It matches the Rfam family "Bacterial small subunit ribosomal RNA", at positions 523 to 796 of the family's 1533-position model. The record is from RNAcentral.
AUACGGAGGGCGCGAGCGUUAAUCGGAAUUACUGGGCGUAAAGCGUACGUAGGCGGUUGGUUAAGUUAGAUGUGAAAGCCCCGGGCUUAACCUGGGAACUGCAUUUAAAACUGGCGAACUAGAGUUGAGUAGAGGGGAGUGGAAUUUCAGGUGUAGCGGUGAAAUGCGUAGAGAUCUGAAGGAACACCAGUGGCGAAGGCGACUCCCUGGACUCGAACUGACGCUGAGGUACGAAAGCGUGGGUAGCAAACGGGAUUAGAUACCCUAGUAGUCC